AGGUUAGUCUACUAAGUCAGUUGGUGAUAAAAAAUUAGACAACAGAAAAUCUGAAACAGCCUUUAGUCUUUACAAUGAAAUUGUUUUCAUAAAUUAAUAUCUAAAUUAUUUUCUUUGAAAAUCUGAACAAUAGAUUUCCACUUUGAAAAUUAAGAACUUGUUGACCGUAGUGACGAACAAACAGUGUUGGGUAUGAAGGCUAUGGUGUGAAUACAGUUGGUAUAAUUUAUAAUUGUAUUAAACGAUCGACAAAUAAAUGAUUUUGGAUAAGCAGUUCAAGUGAAAAAUUUAUUACGACACAGAAUCUGUAUGCAAACCUCUUCAAACGUGUCACCAAAUUUAAUUAUAAUUAUUUUGGAUAAAAAGAUACUUGUCACUAACAGUAUCCACCAUAAGAUAUGCAUUUGAUUAAAGGACAAUGCUGCUGUUCAACUUACGGCCAUAUGGAAUCAAUUGUAUAGUUUUUAGAUGUCCUACGGCCAUCAUAUGAGAAGAGAGACACCACUUCACCGGUACUGUGCAAAAACUGCAGUGAACAUCACCAGUUAUACACCCUUUUGUCUACUGCUACGACUAAAACUUCUGAAAUUUUAGAAAUUCUGGACAAUCUAUAUGAAGCUCUAAAUCCUCAAGAAGAAAAGAUAAUGAAGCUGUAACAAUGUUAAAAAAAAAUAAAGUUUUUAAUGGAGGAAAAUCUAUUUAUAUUCCAAAAAUAUUUGGUGUUUUUGUUCACAUUUGACUAGAAGAAGUGCUCCAACAUUUAACAAAGUUAUUGAUCGCUGUAAUUUAGAAAUUGGUUACAAAAGAUACUUCCUGAUAUCUAUUGAAAAAACAGCUAUCAAAGCCAGAUUAAUUUUGGCCUAAAUAUACUUUUAGGUAAUAAACAUUAAUCCUAUGUAUUCCUGAAAAUACUUUUUCCAAAGUAACACAAAUAUUUUUGUCUAAAAAGUUA
This 952-nucleotide long non-coding RNA is filed under the name Acyrthosiphon pisum (pea aphid). Its description in RNAcentral is "uncharacterized LOC100574544, transcript variant X2". Lineage: Eukaryota; Metazoa; Arthropoda; Insecta; Hemiptera; Aphididae. The record is from RNAcentral.